GUAAAUAUAGUUUACUAAAACGUUAGACUGUGAAUCUAAAAACAGAAGUUCAAACCUUCUUUUUUACC
This 68-nucleotide transfer RNA is filed under the name Zenkerella insignis (Cameroon scaly-tail). RNAcentral's name for it is "tRNA-His". It matches the Rfam family "tRNA". Rfam says of the family: Transfer RNA (tRNA) molecules are approximately 80 nucleotides in length. The record is from RNAcentral. Lineage: Eukaryota; Metazoa; Chordata; Mammalia; Rodentia; Anomaluridae.